This 1135-nucleotide ribosomal RNA is filed under the name Microbacterium lacus. RNAcentral's name for it is "bacterial SSU rRNA". It matches the Rfam family "Bacterial small subunit ribosomal RNA", at positions 149 to 1297 of the family's 1533-position model. The record is from RNAcentral. Lineage: Bacteria; Bacillati; Actinomycetota; Actinomycetes; Micrococcales; Microbacteriaceae.
GCUGGAAACGGCGUCUAAUACUGGAUACGAGCUGCGAAGGCAUCUUCAGCAGCUGGAAAGAACUUCGGUGAGGGAUGAGCUCGCGGCCUAUCAGCUUGUUGGUGAGGUAAUGGCUCACCAAGGCGUCGACGGGUAGCCGGCCUGAGAGGGUGACCGGCCACACUGGGACUGAGACACGGCCCAGACUCCUACGGGAGGCAGCAGUGGGGAAUAUUGCACAAUGGGCGAAAGCCUGAUGCAGCAACGCCGCGUGAGGGACGACGGCCUUCGGGUUGUAAACCUCUUUUAGCAGGGAAGAAGCGAAAGUGACGGUACCUGCAGAAAAAGCACCGGCUAACUACGUGCCAGCAGCCGCGGUAAUACGUAGGGUGCAAGCGUUAUCCGGAAUUAUUGGGCGUAAAGAGCUCGUAGGCGGUUUGUCGCGUCUGCUGUGAAAUCUGGGGGCUCAACCCCCAGCCUGCAGUGGGUACGGGCAGACUAGAGUGCGGUAGGGGAGAUUGGAAUUCCUGGUGUAGCGGUGGAAUGCGCAGAUAUCAGGAGGAACACCGAUGGCGAAGGCAGAUCUCUGGGCCGUAACUGACGCUGAGGAGCGAAAGGGUGGGGAGCAAACAGGCUUAGAUACCCUGGUAGUCCACCCCGUAAACGUUGGGAACUAGUUGUGGGGUCCAUUCCACGGAUUCCGUGACGCAGCUAACGCAUUAAGUUCCCCGCCUGGGGAGUACGGCCGCAAGGCUAAAACUCAAAGGAAUUGACGGGGACCCGCACAAGCGGCGGAGCAUGCGGAUUAAUUCGAUGCAACGCGAAGAACCUUACCAAGGCUUGACAUAUACGAGAACGGGCCAGAAAUGGUCAACUCUUUGGACACUCGUAAACAGGUGGUGCAUGGUUGUCGUCAGCUCGUGUCGUGAGAUGUUGGGUUAAGUCCCGCAACGAGCGCAACCCUCGUUCUAUGUUGCCAGCACGUAAUGGUGGGAACUCAUGGGAUACUGCCGGGGUCAACUCGGAGGAAGGUGGGGAUGACGUCAAAUCAUCAUGCCCCUUAUGUCUUGGGCUUCACGCAUGCUACAAUGGCCGGUACAAAGGGCUGCAAUACCGCAAGGUGGAGCGAAUCCCAAAAAGCCGGUCCCAGUUCGGA